AAUAUUUUUAGGGAGCUAUUCUUUUCUUGCUGUGACAUCACUGCAGACCAUGUCCCUCUGCUGCUGCCGUACCUCCAUCAGACGAGUGAGAGCUCUGAGAUGGACGCUUGCGAUGUCUGCAGCCGUCUAAGGCAAGAGAGGAUUAAUACACUGUAAAAUCCGUUUCAGAAUAAACAGAGUGGAAAGCGAGCCCUUGUGUCC
Molecule: long non-coding RNA, 201 nt
Organism: Pygocentrus nattereri (red-bellied piranha)
Lineage: Eukaryota; Metazoa; Chordata; Actinopteri; Characiformes; Serrasalmidae
Exons: 3
Source: RefSeq, a predicted model, not a curated record